Molecule: long non-coding RNA, 489 nt
Organism: Raphanus sativus (radish)
Lineage: Eukaryota; Viridiplantae; Streptophyta; Magnoliopsida; Brassicales; Brassicaceae
Exons: 2
Source: RefSeq, a predicted model, not a curated record
GCUGAUCUUUGCGAUAGUGCAGAACGUAUCUUCUCAAGUGAACCAACUGUUUUGCAGCUUAGAGCUCCUAUCAAAAUAUUUGGUGAUCUCCAUGGACAGUUUGGGGAUGUUAUGCGCCUUUUUGAUGAAUACGGUUCACCAUCCACAGCUGGAGAGACAUUGCUCAUUUGAUGAGACAUUGCUCAUUCUAGGGGACUAUGUUGAUAGGGGCCAGCACAGUCUAGAAACAAUCUCCCUUCUGCUUGCAUUAAAGGUCGGAUCCGACCGAAAACGACAGUGUUGAAGGUUUAAGACCCAACGCUAGAGGCCCUGGAUUAGUUACUUGUGGGGUGAGCAAUCUUCCUUUGCUCCUAAUAACUUACCAUAUAGAGAAGUGUUUAUUGCUUAUGCAGCCUGACCGUGUAAUGAAGUUCUGUUGCCUUUUCUAUUAUUCUGUAUCAUAUAGACAUUGGGGCUUUUUGUCUUACUUUUAUUUUUGUUAUCAGCUCA